AGGUCUGAAAUUGGGGAAGAUGAGAAGAAUGGAGCUGGAGUUUGGCUGCAGAUCCUUUCGGUGGGUAUUGAUCAAGGUCAUAGGCACGUUGGAGUGGGUACAGAGAACUAGCUUCUCAAAGGUUUAUUUGGAUAAUUAGCUCAAUUCAAGUUUUUGUGACAGUCUAAAGAGAAUCAAAGAGGGUCUACAUUGGAGGCUUUUAUAAAAAUUGGUUGCAGCUCCUACAUUUUGAUUGUUAGUUCCCCAACAAUCUAUCCAAGUUGGAUUUGUUGCCAUGUUCAAGGUAUGCCUCCCUUUCUGUAUUUACAUUUCAGCUAGGGUUGUGGGAUUCAUUUUAUUGAGUAGUGAAAAGAGUGACAUUUGACUCUU
Rosa chinensis is the source of this 369-nucleotide long non-coding RNA. RefSeq lists it as uncharacterized. The transcript has 3 exons. Lineage: Eukaryota; Viridiplantae; Streptophyta; Magnoliopsida; Rosales; Rosaceae. The record is from RefSeq and is a predicted model, not a curated record.